GUACACUUAAAAUCGUUUUAUUUACAGAUCAUUCAACUCUACUAUAUUACACGACAAUCCUUACGACUUGCAUGGAACUGUUUACAUAGUUAUUGAAGACAACAGAUACAUUGCGUUUAUAUAGAAAUUUUUCGCUCAAACAGAAUGGAUCCAUUUUCUAUUUUUGCACACGUAAAACGUAGGAUACGCAUAAAGCAAUCCAUAACUUCAUGUACACGAACGCUAUCUCAGUUAGAAAACAGUUACUCCACAAGCAAAGGCGUCGGUUGAUUUUGUCGACAUACCAUUUUAGAUGUUCAACUUGGUACGUCUCCAGUGUCUUCUCUUCAUGUUAUAAUGAACAGUGUUUCCGGUGCGAAGACGAAUCCAUUGAGGAAUGGGGCGGUUUUGACGCGCAGCCUUGGCAAGCUUUUGCUUGGUACGGAAACUCUUGUGAGAAGGCAUUUUGUGGAAGACAGAGUGUUGCAUCCACGCAACUAAAGCGAAUGUGACUGCUCUUUUUUCACAACUGUGACUGUCUUUUGAAGGUUUUUGUAGGAUUUAAGGAAUAAUUUCAACAUACUAUGGUACAUAUUGCUAGUAACCGUUAAAACUGUUUUGUGAAAUAUGCCGUCAGAGCGUUAUUUAAACUAGAAUUGAGAUACUGAAGAAAUAAUUAAAUAUAUUUCAGUUAGUCCAAAAGCUUGUUGUUAGAAAAAGGCAGACGCAUUCAAGAAAGUAGUGUUAGUAAGUAAUAUUUGGUUCAAUCAUAUCAAAGUAAACUUGCUAUUAAUUUUACAUUUGGGCUAGAAGCUCAUAUUUUAAGCAUUGAGGUACAAAGAAGUUCCCAAGUCAAAAAACUUCUAUUUUGUUACUACUAUUUACAAUUUGAAAAACUACGAAAUCCGUACUUAUGAGGGUCAAUAAAAAAACAAAAAACGAAUCCAUUAUUCAUUAUGAAUCAAAGUUAAUGGUAAGAGUAAAAUGCCAUCGUACCGAUUACGAUAAAAUAGACAAUUAUUUGCACGUUAGCAAAUUAAAUUAAUCAGUUGACCAAACAACAUUAAAUAGCACAGACAUUAAAAUUCCUUACAUUGCUAGUAAGGCCAUAAUGCCUAAAAAGUAACCUUGUUAUUCAAUCCUUGAAAUUGACAAGUUUUUGGAAUAAAACACAAACCUGACUAUGGAUGAAGACAUAUCUAGAAGACAAACGACAAACAUCCAUUUUCAAAAUAAGGAAAUAUUAAGUAAUUUAAUAGCAUUGGUCAUGCUUCAUCGCAUAAUAGUAUACAUGACCUAAAUAAAGGAAAUUCGGAAAUAACUUAACGAUAUAUGAGGGAGUUAAUCUAAACAAUGGAAACCCUUUUACUGAUCAGAAAGACAAAAAAAGGGCUCUUGUCGGGUAUCACCCUUUUCAAAUAAAUUAUGCUUUGUUCAAUCCCUGUUCAACCACAAGUUCAUAGUAACGACCGCGCUGUUUAACAAGCUCGGCAUGAGUACCAGCUUCAGCGAUAACACCACCAUCAAAUACGAAAAUACAGUCUGCAUCUUGGAUAGAAGACAAACGAUGAGCAAUUGCUACCGUGGUUCUACCUUGAGAGGCGGCAUUUAAAGCUUCUUGAACGACCUUUUCGCUAUGACUGUCUAAAGCACUGGUUGCUUCAUCUAAAAGGAGAAUCUUUGGAUUUCUAAUUAAUGCUCUAGCAAUGGCAAUACGCUGUUUUUGACCACCAGAUAAGGAAGAGCCCUUUUGACCGCAAAGUGUGUUAUAACCGUUGGGCAAUCCAAGAAUAAACUCAUGAAUAUUGGCCUUCUUGCAAGCUUCAAUCAUCUCUUCUUCAGAGACAUCUUUAGAUGCGCCCAAAACAAUGUUCUCACGAACAGUACCUUGGUACAACGUUGGCUCUUGAGAGACAAGGGCAAUUUGUUUGCGGUAGUCGUUAAUGUUAUAGUCACGAACAUUAACACCGUCCACCAAUACAGCUCCAUUGUCGCAAUCGUAGAAACGCUCGAUAAGCCCAAUGGUCGUAGAUUUACCACAGCCAGAAGAUCCUACGAAUGCGACAAACUGCCCGGGCUUCACAGUGAGGUUCAAACCACGAAGAACUUUAAUAUGCCUUCUGGUAGGGUAACUAAAUUCAACUUGCCUGAAUUCAAUUGCUGCACUUUGAAGGGAUUCAACUUUCUUUCCUUCCGUCGACCAUGUAUCAAUUUUAGGUUUUGAUUCGGACAAAUACUUAAUUUCACCGGCAGCAGCCUUUGCUUUUGUUACAUCUGCUGAGUAACCAAAGAAUUGACCAGCUUGUUGUAUACCAAAGACAAUUGCAAUAAAACAAGUAUAAAACUGAACGAUGUUAUAUUCGCCCUUGCGCAUUAAGGUAGAACCAUACCAAAAUGUCAAUGCGUUAAUCAAAAAGGUAACACCUUGAGCAGCAGAAAAGAAUAAACCAGAUUUCAAUGAUGCGAUUGCCGACUCACGGCCAGGUUUGAUGAGAGAAUCACAAUACUCAGCAAAAACGUUUUCUUCGCGAUUAAGACUAGCGACUGUACGAAUGGCUGAAGUUGACUCGCAUGCGAACGCAGCUGACUCUUUGUAGGCAGCAGACAACUUCUCUUGGACUUGAUCAAGAGCACGUACACGGUAAUAACCAGCAGUAAUGAUAACAGGGGAGGUCGAAAGGGUCACCAAACCCAACUUCCAUCCUGUAGCCAAAGAUAAAAUCGUAACUGAAAUGAUAUUGGUCAAAAUUUGGAAAAAGGUUCCUAAAGUCGGGCCGCUCAAUCCCUCCAAAGACUGAAUUUUCGUUGAUAAAGAAGUAGUAAUAGCACCAACUGUGUUCUCACUACGGUCGAAAAACUCAACAUCUUGACGAAGCAAUGUUCGAAAUAGAUGAUAACGAAUUCUUUGCAAAACUGCUUCCAUUGCAUAAGUCAUUGCAAAAUUGGAAAUUGCAUAAGCGAAGAAUUGAACAAUAGCUAGAAUAAGCCAAUAAACAGCAAACACGUUUACUUUGUGUAAAAAGUCUGUGGAUGAGAGAUCAGUGAAGAUAUUGAGAAAUCUUGCAAAAACAGCUGCCUGAACAGGGUAAGCUGCACCACAAAUCAUAGAAGCCAAAAUACCAAUUAAUAGACAAAUAAUCUCUAUCAUUGUCCGUACAAAAGAAUGAAUGAACCAUAACGCUGUUAACGAAUUAAUCUCAUGGUUGUUUUUCUUUGACUUUUUGGACUUUUUAGGCUCCUCAUUAAGUUCACCGACAUCUGCAGGAGGUAGGUUUGGAACAAUUUCGGAAGCUACAUGCUGAAGGGUUUUGUCUUCAAACACGACAUUAUCUUUCUCGUUGAGUUUAUUAUUCAACGUAUCAGUAUCCGUAUUAUGGGACAUCAUAGGGGCCUCGAGGCUAGCCAUAUCAUUAUCUUCAUCAUCGUCACCAAAAGACGUUAUGGGUAUUUCCCUCGGAGCAUCCUCCAGUUCUUCCUCGACCAUUUCCUGGUCUUUUUCUCCACCUGAUAGCUUUUGAGCUUCUACUAGUCUAGCAUAAGCACCAUUCAGAUCUAACAAUUCAUUGUGGGAGCCCUGUUCAACAAUUUUUCCUGCAUUCACUACGACAAUAUUAUCAGCGUUACGAAUUGUAGAAAGACGAUGAGCAAUAACGAUAGUGGUACGAGAUCUCGAUGCAUUAUCUAGAGCUUUCUGAACAAGCACUUCACUCUUAGAGUCUAAAGCACUUGUGGCUUCGUCCAACAAUAAGAUCUUGGGAUCACUAAUAACGGCCCUAGCGAUUGCAAUUCUUUGUUUUUGUCCUCCUGACAUAAGGAAACCGCGUUGUCCAACAUUAGUUGAAAAUUGCUCGGGUAAUGUCAUAAUAAAGUCGUAAGCGUUGGCAAGCUUAGCGGCAUCAUAAACUCUUCUUUCCAAUUCUUCCUUAGACAAGGUACCUUUAAUUGUAUCAGGCAGGCCAUAAGUUAUAUUUUCAAACACAGUUGUAGCAAACAGAACCGGUUCUUGUUGUACCAAAGAUAUUUGAUUUCUCAGCGAAGCAACGUUCAGCGUUCUAAGGUCUUUACCAUCUAAGAAAACCUGCCCACCAAUGGGGUCGUAAAAUCGCUCAACAAGUCCAAUGAUCGUGGAUUUGCCGCUACCACUGGCACCUACUAAAGCAGUAAUUUUACCAGAAGGGCAUACCAAAGAAAAGUUAUCCAGCACUAAAACUUCAGGACGAGUAGGAUAAACAAAUCGAAUAUUUUUCAAUUCGAUCUCCCCUUUAAUAUCUUUGACUACAUCACCAGUAGGUGUAAAAGCAUUAAUUGGACUAACACGAUCAAUUGUGUCGAAAAUCUUUUUAGCGGCUGAGGCACAACUAACAAAUGACUGCAUCUUAGGAGAAAUGUUGGCCAAACUAUAGGAAGCAAUAAGGACGGCGAAAAAGCAGCCAAUUAAUUUGCUAACAUCUAAAUCACCUGCAUGUAGGAGGCGUCCACCUUCCCAAAAUGCAAGACCGUAAACACCAUACGCAACAAAGAACAUCCAUCCAACCAUUAAACCCAUUGCAAUUGCCUUAUUGAUACCGAAGCGUUGUGCAGUUAUUAAGUACUUAUUGUACAAUUUUGCAAGAAUAUCUUGGGUACCAAAAGCAAAAGCAUUUCUGAUAUUGGAAAACACUUCUUCCACAAAUGUACUGGAUUCGGCAACGACGGCGAUUUGACCUUUGGUGUUUUUGGUAAUAAAGGGAACACCCAAGCCGAUACCACCACAAAUGGCUGGAAACAUUGAACUCAAUAUCAAUGUGAACUUCCAAUGACGAAUAAAAGCGAUAACAAAACCAGAUACAAAGGUUGCUAUUGCAAAGAACACCAAUCCGACCUUCUCACCUAAACCAUCUUGAAUAAAGUUUGUAUCAGUAGUAAUUCGAGUGGUAAUUUCACCGGCACCUAGACGAUCGAAAUAACCGAUAUUUUGGGAAAGAAUGGCAUGCAAAUAAUCUUGUCGAAUACGACGGGCAAUCCGCUCUCCUGCAAUAAUAAAGGUUACAGUGUAAAUAUAUGAACAGCCAAAGACACCAAUUGCGAUGUAAAUAAAAUAAAGACAAAAGUGAUCUACAGUGUGUUGGAAAGAUGACGCUCCUUUGCCAGAGGCAAGGUCGGUAAAAGCUUGAGCCAGCUGACCGGAUACAAGGGACAUCAAUGGCAUACCCAGGCCGGCACCAAUACCAGUAAUGGUGCCUGCCAAUUGCAGCAUAAUAUCCCAUUUAUCGGCGUAUGAAAGGAUUCUAGGGUAUCCAGAAAGUUUGGCAGGUGUGUCAUUAAUUUGUUUGUAAAGGAUUUCUUGUUCUUCAGGAGUAUACUGUUCAAAAGGAUCUUUGACAACAUCUACCACGUGGCUUUCAGAAGCCUCAUUCUCGCUUUUCUCUGUUGAAAAGUUUUUUUCAUUUGAAGGUAUGCUUUUGAUAGAAAGGUCCAAAGAAUGUUCGUUAUCCUUAACCGUAGAAGUGGAUUUUUUACUAUGCA
Schizosaccharomyces pombe (fission yeast) is the source of this 5484-nucleotide non-coding RNA. NCBI's taxonomy places the organism in Eukaryota, Fungi, Ascomycota, Schizosaccharomycetes, Schizosaccharomycetales, Schizosaccharomycetaceae. The record is from the annotation of a GenBank genome assembly.